UAUGUGCCCCCGCAACCACCCUGUUGUAGGGACAGAUGAGGCAGGGCACCGAGGACAGCAGGAAACAGUUUUAUUUGGCUGCAGCCAGGUUCAGAGGGCACAGCCUUUGCUGUAAUUAAUCAAUCCCCUGAACCCCGAGUUCAGGGAGUUGCAGAGUUUUAUACCCAGCAUGGAAGGGGAGGGACUCAGAAGUUCACAGUCUGCAGAAGUUCACAUAAAAGCAGCUUUUUCUUUCACUGUUCUGGGCAAGUUAACCCUUCAAGGACAACACCUGAGAAGAGGGGAGCUUCUUGUCCCCUCUCUUUCCUCCCCCUGCCAGCUGUUACCAUGAGCCCAUUUGUAACUUAUCUUAAAAAUGUAGACAUCUCUGUGAAGCCCAGCUCAAGGCCAGAGGCCUUGUUUGCACAUUUCUUCAAAGUACUAUACUGGAUACGUUUGUGAAAAACUAGUAAGGGGGUGUCCAGCACCUGGAGUGAUGGUAUCUUCUCGGCCAGUGGCCAAGUAAACAGGGUGACAGGAAAAUAGGAAGUUUAUCUACAUUGGACUCUUUUGCUGACAGUGCUAAAAUCAGCCAUGGUGAAGAGGGCUUUUCUGUGGAGAAAGGGGGUGCCCCUUCAACCCCUGCAGGGCCAGGAACUCAGGGGCAGGCCCGGGUGGGUGUGGUGCUCUGAAGAUCUGAGGGUCACCUUCACACGCUGACAUCCUGCCCCACGGUGAAGGGGAGGCCACGAGAGCGGAGCCUUCAUGGAUGGCAUCAGUGUCCUCACCAGACACCUGUCCCUUCCACCAAGGGAGGACCAGGGAGAUGUCACCAUCUGUGAGGCAGGUCCUCCUGGAGCCCAGAUCUUCUGGCACCUCCAUCUGGGGCUUCCUGGCCCCCACUGUGGUGGUCAGCCCCUGCCCGUUCCCGAGAUCACCUCCCGAG
Molecule: long non-coding RNA, 925 nt
Filed under: Marmota monax (woodchuck)
Lineage: Eukaryota; Metazoa; Chordata; Mammalia; Rodentia; Sciuridae
Source: RNAcentral